RNAcentral lists this ribosomal RNA (517 nucleotides) under uncultured Acinetobacter sp. Its description in RNAcentral is "bacterial SSU rRNA". It matches the Rfam family "Bacterial small subunit ribosomal RNA", at positions 870 to 1398 of the family's 1533-position model. The record is from RNAcentral. Lineage: Bacteria; Pseudomonadati; Pseudomonadota; Gammaproteobacteria; Moraxellales; Moraxellaceae.
CGCCUGGGGAGUGCGGUCGCAAGACUAAAACUCAAAUGAAUUGACGGGGGCCCGCACAAGCGGUGGAGCAUGUGGUUUAAUUCGAUGCAACGCGAAGAACCUUACCUGGUCUUGACAUAGUAAGAACUUUCCAGAGAUGGAUUGGUGCCUUCGGGGACUUACAUACAGGUGCUGCAUGGCUGUCGUCAGCUCGUGUCGUGAGAUGUUGGGUUAAGUCCCGCAACGAGCGCAACCCUUUUCCUUAUUUGCCAGCACUUUGGUGGGAACUUUAAGGAUACUGCCAGUGACAAACUGGAGGAAGGCGGGGACGACGUCAAGUCAUCAUGGCCCUUACGACCAGGGCUACACACGUGCUACAAUGGUCGGUACAAAGGGUUGCUACCUAGCGAUAGGAUGCUAAUCUCAAAAAGCCGAUCGUAGUCCGGAUUGGAGUCUGCAACUCGACUCCAUGAAGUCGGAUCGCUAGUAUCGCGGAUCAGAUGCCGCGUGAUACGUCCGGGCUUGACACACGCCCGUC